This 782-nucleotide ribosomal RNA is filed under the name Escherichia coli. RNAcentral's name for it is "partial 23S ribosomal RNA". It matches the Rfam family "Bacterial large subunit ribosomal RNA", at positions 418 to 1201 of the family's 2925-position model. The record is from RNAcentral. Lineage: Bacteria; Pseudomonadati; Pseudomonadota; Gammaproteobacteria; Enterobacterales; Enterobacteriaceae.
CGGGACACGUGGUAUCCUGUCUGAAUAUGGGGGGACCAUCCUCCAAGGCUAAAUACUCCUGACUGACCGAUAGUGAACCAGUACCGUGAGGGAAAGGCGAAAAGAACCCCGGCGAGGGGAGUGAAAAAGAACCUGAAACCGUGUACGUACAAGCAGUGGGAGCACGCUUAGGCGUGUGACUGCGUACCUUUUGUAUAAUGGGUCAGCGACUUAUAUUCUGUAGCAAGGUUAACCGAAUAGGGGAGCCGAAGGGAAACCGAGUCUUAACUGGGCGUUAAGUUGCAGGGUAUAGACCCGAAACCCGGUGAUCUAGCCAUGGGCAGGUUGAAGGUUGGGUAACACUAACUGGAGGACCGAACCGACUAAUGUUGAAAAAUUAGCGGAUGACUUGUGGCUGGGGGUGAAAGGCCAAUCAAACCGGGAGAUAGCUGGUUCUCCCCGAAAGCUAUUUAGGUAGCGCCUCGUGAAUUCAUCUCCGGGGGUAGAGCACUGUUUCGGCAAGGGGGUCAUCCCGACUUACCAACCCGAUGCAAACUGCGAAUACCGGAGAAUGUUAUCACGGGAGACACACGGCGGGUGCUAACGUCCGUCGUGAAGAGGGAAACAACCCAGACCGCCAGCUAAGGUCCCAAAGUCAUGGUUAAGUGGGAAACGAUGUGGGAAGGCCCAGACAGCCAGGAUGUUGGCUUAGAAGCAGCCAUCAUUUAAAGAAAGCGUAAUAGCUCACUGGUCGAGUCGGCCUGCGCGGAAGAUGUAACGGGGCUAAACCAUGCACCGAAGCU